Molecule: ribosomal RNA, 254 nt
Filed under: uncultured bacterium
Lineage: Bacteria
Description: partial 16S ribosomal RNA
Rfam family: Bacterial small subunit ribosomal RNA
Source: RNAcentral
UACGUAGGGUGCGAGCGUUGUCCGGAAUUAUUGGGCGUAAAGAGCUCGUAGGCGGUCUGUCGCGUCGAUCGUGAAAACUUGGGGCUUAACCCUGAGCUUGCGGUCGAUACGGGCAGACUAGAGGUAGGUAGGGGAGAAUGGAAUUCCCGGUGUAGCGGUGAAAUGCGCAGAUAUCGGGAGGAACACCGGUGGCGAAGGCGGUUCUCUGGGCCUGUACUGACGCUGAGGAGCGAAAGCGUGGGGAGCAAACAGGA